This 72-nucleotide transfer RNA is filed under the name Heterocephalus glaber (naked mole-rat). It matches the Rfam family "tRNA". From Rfam's summary of the family: Transfer RNA (tRNA) molecules are approximately 80 nucleotides in length. The record is from Rfam by way of RNAcentral. Lineage: Eukaryota; Metazoa; Chordata; Mammalia; Rodentia; Bathyergidae.
AGGGGUAUAGCUUAGUGGUAGAGUGUUUGUCUAGCAUGCACAAGGACCUGGGUUCAAUCUCUAGUACCACAA